Molecule: ribosomal RNA, 655 nt
Filed under: uncultured bacterium
Lineage: Bacteria
Description: bacterial SSU rRNA
Rfam family: Bacterial small subunit ribosomal RNA
Source: RNAcentral
AGAGUUUGAUCCUGGCUCAGGACGAACGCUGGCGGCGUGCUUAACACAUGCAAGUCGAACGAUAUUCAUCGGGAAAGUUUUUCGGAAUGAUCCUGGUGAUGAAAGUGGCGAACGGGUGAGUAACGCGUGGGCAACCUGCCUUAAACUGGGGGACAACACCGGGAAACUGGUGCUAAUACCGCAUAAGACAACAGUAAGACAUCUUACAGUUGGAAAAGGAUGUAAAUCCGGUUUAAGAUGGGCCCRCGUCUGAUUAGCUAGUUGGUAGGGUAACGGCCUACCAAGGCGAUGAUCAGUAGCCGAACUGAGAGGUUGAUCGGCCACAUUGGGACUGAGACACGGCCCAGACUCCUACGGGAGGCAGCAGUGGGGAAUAUUGCGCAAUGGGGGAAACCCUGACGCAGCAACGCCGCGUGAAGGAUGAAGGCCUUUGGGUUGUAAACUUCUUUGAUUGGGGAAGAAAGAAAUGACGGUACCCAAAUAACAAGCCACGGCUAACUACGUGCCAGCAGCCGCGGUAAUACGUAGGUGGCARGCGUUGUCCGGAUUUACUGGGUGUAAAGGGCGUGUAGGCGGAGCUGUAAGUCAGAAGUGAAAUCCCCGGGCUUAACCCGGGAACUGCUUCUGAAACUGCGGUUCUUGAGUACUGGAGAGG